CUUCAUUCCCUCACUGCGGGUUAAAAGGGUGGUUAGCACAGGAGAAAGUAUUUUCUGAAAUUCUGGACGAGUGAGGGGAGCCUAUUCUGAACCGUCAUUUUCCUACCUCCCUGCACUCCUUGGCCUGUGCCGCGGAAUCUUUGCAUGAAGUCAGCUGCGCAGUGAAUUCAAAUGUUCUGUCUCCGGAGAUUGUUCUGGAAGGGUGCAUGGGAAGGAGGUGAGAACAGCAAGCCAGCCCACCAUCUCCUGCCAGUAGAAGGACCCUUCUGGAGACGUGGGUCCUUAGAAGAGUUCAACCUCUCAACAAAAGGUGUUUGGCCAAACCAUAAGAUGAGGCUUGGAACUCCUCAGCCUCCUAUCAAACCAAAGAACCUAAGAGAAGUUUCCCUGGCCUUCCUUUCCCAGCAGCACCACACUGUCCUCUUGGACAACAAUAGCUUCCCUUUAUCCGUGAUUACAGAUACCUACAGGCAACCUUCAUCUGAAAAUAUUAAUGGAAAGUUCCAGAAACAUUGAAUUUAAAAAGAAAUUACAGCGUAUGAAUUAUUCUGCUUUAUUAUUGUUUGCUAGACUCUUCCUGAAUUCAUAAAUUAAAAUUCAUCAUAGGUAUGUGUAGGAAAAAUCAUAGUCUCUAUAGGAGGCAGUACUGUUCAUGGUUUCAGACAUCUAUCUACAGGAGUCCUGGAACAUAAAACCCCUGCAGAUCAACAGGGACUACUGCAUUCUACUUUAUAAAAAGAGUAAUAAUAAUUUUUAAAAAACCUAACCACCAAAACUUCCCGUUGACAUACUGUUGGACACGGGGUAGGAACACUGCACGGCAGGCUACAGGGGCCAGGAGGAACCACACUCCACAGGAGGAGCGGCUGGCCAUCAGGGUGCGUGGCCCCAUUGGCUCCUUGAUGGGCAGUUUCUGCAGCUGUGUCUGCAUCAACCCCCAGACUCCCUGCCGGCUCCUCCUGGGGCCCUUAGGCAGCAUCUUAGUAUCAUGCCCAGCUGUGGCUUUCUCUGGCUACCUUGAUCAACCUGAGGAGCCACAUUUCUGAAAUUAAUCAUUCUUUCUUUCUUCAUCUCAGUGCUGAUCACACCUAGGGCUGAUUGAACAGCCUGCUACCACCAAACCACAUCCCUAGCCUCCUUUCUGGAAAUUCCUGAGAUUUUGGAGUUCUGAGGUUUCCAUUUCUCGUGGUUGGAUAGUCAUGGAUGUACUUGGUUUUAAGCACAUUUUCUGCCAUUUGACGGGGGCUCUGUGGGCAGAGAGGAGAAGCAGUAGUACUUCUCCGUUGGCAACAACAACAAAAAAAGUGUUGCUGUGUCAUUUUGCAUUUCUCUGYUUCCUGGCUGGUUUAUGGCAUCCCUUUUAUCUUUAAGGAGUAACUUUCUAGUUAUCAUCCCAGGGAUGAGGUAGAUCCUUGACACGAUAAGACAUGCCAACACUAAAGAAGAGAGUUCAAAUCAUGACAUCCAGGUGUGAUUCGCAAGAUGGUCACUAAAUACUCAAUAGGAGGUGCCAGCUGGACAGGAGAGGCACAUCUGUAGUCCCGGCACUAGGGAGGCGGAGUCAGGAGGUUCAUUUGAGCAUAGAAGUUUGAGAGCAGCCUGGGUAACAUAGCACGAUCCUGUGUAUUGAAUCAAAGACCAGGAAAAAGCAAACAAACAAAUAAAAAAACCCAGCCCCUUGCA
Long non-coding RNA from Urocitellus parryii (Arctic ground squirrel), 1683 nucleotides. The record is from Ensembl. Lineage: Eukaryota; Metazoa; Chordata; Mammalia; Rodentia; Sciuridae.